This 342-nucleotide ribosomal RNA is filed under the name Triticum aestivum (bread wheat). RNAcentral describes it as "partial small subunit ribosomal RNA". The record is from RNAcentral. Lineage: Eukaryota; Viridiplantae; Streptophyta; Magnoliopsida; Poales; Poaceae.
AUGGUAGUUGGCUGCUAUCUAUUAUUUAUAGUAUGUCUGUAUGCUGAGGUUGCCAUUGCUGUUUGUAAGUCCCCAAUGGUGCUGUCAUUGUCUAAGGACCUGCUGCAGAGGAAGUCAGAGUUCCUGAUCUCUGAGGUGGGGUUGAAACCGGCAUACUUGGCACAUCGGUCGACAUUGCCCACUUACGGCCUGGAGGGCCGGCUAAUGCCCCGAUACUACGUUUUAAAGUUUCUCAAUGAAAAUGGAUUCAUAGAUCAAGACCAGGACUUCUUUAAUGCAGUCAUGGUCAGCGAGAAGAGGGGAAGUGUCUGCCAGAUUCAGUUUUACAUGAACCAAUACUGA